This is a small nucleolar RNA of Octodon degus (degu), 105 nucleotides long. RefSeq annotates it as small nucleolar RNA U13. The record is from RefSeq and is a predicted model, not a curated record. The transcript has a single exon. Lineage: Eukaryota; Metazoa; Chordata; Mammalia; Rodentia; Octodontidae.
ACCUACAAGGGCCCUUCCUGAGCGUGACGACUGUGUCCAUGCCGCACGCGUGAGAUGCGCCGCCCUCAAACCUUGCUCCGACCCUGGCACAUCACUCGUCUGACA